GAGGGUGUAGCUCAUUGGUGGAGCACAUGCUUAGCAUGCAUGAGGUCCUAGGUUCAAUCCCUAGUACCUCCA
Molecule: transfer RNA, 72 nt
Filed under: Camelus bactrianus (Bactrian camel)
Lineage: Eukaryota; Metazoa; Chordata; Mammalia; Artiodactyla; Camelidae
Also listed under: 2 other names
Rfam family: tRNA
About the family: Transfer RNA (tRNA) molecules are approximately 80 nucleotides in length. Their secondary structure includes four short double-helical elements and three loops (D, anti-codon, and T loops). Further hydrogen bonds mediate the characteristic L-shaped molecular structure. tRNAs have two regions of fundamental functional importance: the anti-codon, which is responsible for specific mRNA codon recognition, and the 3' end, to which the tRNAs corresponding amino acid is attached (by aminoacyl-tRNA synthetases). tRNAs cope with the degeneracy of the genetic code in two manners: having more than one tRNA (with a specific anti-codon) for a particular amino acid; and 'wobble' base-pairing, i.e. permitting non-standard base-pairing at the 3rd anti-codon position.
Source: Rfam by way of RNAcentral